Molecule: ribosomal RNA, 117 nt
Filed under: uncultured bacterium
Lineage: Bacteria
Description: partial 16S ribosomal RNA
Rfam family: Bacterial small subunit ribosomal RNA
Source: RNAcentral
ACACACCGCCCGUCACACCAUGAGAGCCGGGAACACCCGAAGUCCGUAGUCUAACCUAUAUGGAGGACGCGGCCGAAGGUGGGUUUGGUAAUUGGGGUGAAGUCGUAACAAGGUACC